UACGGAGGGUGCAAGCGUUAUCCGGAUUUACUGGUUAAAGGGUGCGCAGGCGGAUAUGUAAGUCAGUGGUGAAAUCUCCGGGCUUAACCCGGAACUGCCGUUGAUACUAUAUAUCUUGAAUGCUGUGGAGGUAAGCAGAAUAUGUCAUGUAGCGGUGAAAUGCUUAGAGAUGACAUAGAAUACCUAUGCGAAGGCAGCUUACUACGCAGAUAUUGACGCUCAUGCACGAAAGCGUGGGGAUCAAACAGGAAUUAGAUACCCGUGG
This 265-nucleotide ribosomal RNA is filed under the name uncultured bacterium. RNAcentral's name for it is "partial 16S ribosomal RNA". It matches the Rfam family "Bacterial small subunit ribosomal RNA", at positions 524 to 790 of the family's 1533-position model. The record is from RNAcentral.